GGAUGAACGCUGGCGGCGUGCUUAACACAUGCAAGUCGAACGAAGCGAUUGGAAGGAAGUUUUCGGAUGGAAUUCUGAUUGACUGAGUGGCGGACGGGUGAGUAACGCGUGGGUAACCUGCCUCAUACAGGGGGAUAACAGUUAGAAAUGACUGCUAAUACCGCAUAAGCGCACAGGAUUGCAUGAUCCGGUGUGAAAAACUCCGGUGGUAUGAGAUGGACCCGCGUCUGAUUAGCUGGUUGGUGGGGUAACGGCCCACCAAGGCGACGAUCAGUAGCCGACCUGAGAGGGUGACCGGCCACAUUGGGACUGAGACACGGCCCAAACUCCUACGGGAGGCAGCAGUGGGGAAUAUUGCACAAUGGGGGAAACCCUGAUGCAGCAACGCCGCGUGAGUGAAGAAGUAUUUCGGUAUGUAAAGCUCUAUCAGCAGGGAAGAAAAUGACGGUACCUGAGUAAGAAGCCCCGGCUAACUACGUGCCAGCAGCCGCGGUAA
This 496-nucleotide ribosomal RNA is filed under the name uncultured bacterium. Its description in RNAcentral is "bacterial SSU rRNA". It matches the Rfam family "Bacterial small subunit ribosomal RNA", at positions 27 to 523 of the family's 1533-position model. The record is from RNAcentral.